This 434-nucleotide ribosomal RNA is filed under the name uncultured Lachnospiraceae bacterium. RNAcentral describes it as "partial 16S ribosomal RNA". It matches the Rfam family "Bacterial small subunit ribosomal RNA", at positions 341 to 792 of the family's 1533-position model. Lineage: Bacteria; Bacillati; Bacillota; Clostridia; Lachnospirales; Lachnospiraceae. The record is from RNAcentral.
ACGGGAGGCAGCAGUGGGGGAUCUUGCACAAUGGGGGAAACCCUGAUGCAGCGACGCCGCGUGAGUGAAGAAGUAUUUCGGUAUGUAAAGCUCUAUCAGCAGGAAAGGUAAUGACGGUAUCUGACUAAGAAGCACCGGCUAAAUACGUGCCAGCAGCCGCGGUAAUACGUAUGGUGCAAGCGUUAUCCGGAUUUACUAGGUGUAAAGGGAGCGCAGACGGCAUGGCAAGCCAGAUGUGAAAGGCAGGGGCUCAACUCCUGGACUGCAUUUGGAACAGUCAAGCUAGAGUAUCGGAGAGGUAAGUGGAAUUCCUAGUGUAGCGGUGAAAUGCGUAGAUAUUAGGAGGAACACCAGUGGCGAAGGCGGCUUACUGGACGAUAACUGACGUUGAGGCUCGAAAGCGUGGGGAGCAAACAGGAUUAGAUACCCUGGUA